RNAcentral lists this ribosomal RNA (412 nucleotides) under Streptomyces sp. MBT63. Its description in RNAcentral is "bacterial SSU rRNA". It matches the Rfam family "Bacterial small subunit ribosomal RNA", at positions 100 to 527 of the family's 1533-position model. The record is from RNAcentral. Lineage: Bacteria; Bacillati; Actinomycetota; Actinomycetes; Kitasatosporales; Streptomycetaceae.
CGACGGGUGAGUAACACGUGGGAAUCUGCCCUGCACUCUGGGACAAGCCUUGGAAACGAGGUCUAAUACCGGAUAUGACCUGUCCUCGCAUGGGGACGGGUGUAAAGCUCCGGCGGUGCAGGAUGAUCCCGCGGCCUAUCAGCUUGUUGGUGGGGUAAUGGCCUACCAAGGCGACGACGGGUAGCCGGCCUGAGAGGGCGACCGGCCACACUGGGACUGAGACACGGCCCAGACUCCUACGGGAGGCAGCAGUGGGGAAUAUUGCACAAUGGGCGAAAGCCUGAUGCAGCGACGCCGCGUGAGGGAUGACGGCCUUCGGGUUGUAAACCUCUUUCAGCAGGGAAGAAGCGCAAGUGACGGUACCUGCAGAAGAAGCACCGGCUAACUACGUGCCAGCAGCCGCGGUAAUACG